This 271-nucleotide unclassified non-coding RNA is filed under the name Hevea brasiliensis (rubber tree). The record is from RNAcentral. Lineage: Eukaryota; Viridiplantae; Streptophyta; Magnoliopsida; Malpighiales; Euphorbiaceae.
GAAUACAAGCUGCCAGCCUGAUCUUUUAGGGUCCUCCAACUGGCCUUCAAGGCCAAACAGUUGCCCAAGCUCAUUGCGCAGCUCAGAAUAACUGUUGAAUUUGCUAAUAUCCAAUGAUCUUCCAAAGGACCCUGAUUUGUAAACCUUGACGAAUGUUCCAUUUUGUGGGUUCUCUUGGCCUAGAUUAUCAGGAGACUGCAUGAAUCCUGAUUCUUCUAAGCCACUCGAACUCGUAAAGGCUUGAUUCAACGGAAGCUCAGUCCCCAUGGUC